AUCUCAUGAUGAGGACAUGCGGCCAUAUAUUCCCGAAGUUGUUCCCAUCCCUUAGGAAUGGACUCGUCCCUUGUCUGCUGGAAGCUUGAAAUUCUUUCGCGAAGGGU
Small nucleolar RNA from Oryza rufipogon (brownbeard rice), 107 nucleotides. It matches the Rfam family "Plant small nucleolar RNA R71". Rfam says of the family: R71 is a member of the C/D box family of snoRNAs containing the C (UGAUGA) and D (CUGA) box motifs. Multiple nearly identical copies of this snoRNA have been identified in Arabidopsis, and it is thought to function as a 2'-O-ribose methylation guide for 18S ribosomal RNA. The record is from Rfam. NCBI's taxonomy places the organism in Eukaryota, Viridiplantae, Streptophyta, Magnoliopsida, Poales, Poaceae.